GAGUCUUGCACUCUGAGCUGGGUGUGGCCGCAGAGACCAGCGAGAAGCGACUGUUUACUAAAAACACAGGUCCGUGCGAAGCCGUAAGGCGAUGUAUACGGACUGACGCCUGCCCGGUGCUGGAACGUUAAGGGGACCGGUUAGUCACAUUUCGGUGUGGCGAAGCUGAGAACUUAAGCGCCAGUAAACGGCGGUGGUAACUAUAACCAUCCUAAGGUAGCGAAAUUCCUUGUCGGGUAAGUUCCGACCUGCACGAAUGGCGUAACGACUUCUCGACUGUCUCAACCAUAGGCCCGGUGAAAUUGCAUUACGAGUAAAGAUGCUCGUUUCGCGCAGCAGGACGGAAAGACCCCGGGACCUU
This 361-nucleotide ribosomal RNA is filed under the name Streptomyces albidoflavus. Its description in RNAcentral is "partial 23S ribosomal RNA". It matches the Rfam family "Bacterial large subunit ribosomal RNA", at positions 1748 to 2101 of the family's 2925-position model. Lineage: Bacteria; Bacillati; Actinomycetota; Actinomycetes; Kitasatosporales; Streptomycetaceae. The record is from RNAcentral.